UGAGGAAUAUUGGGCAAUGCCCGCAAGGGUGACCCAGCAACGCCGCGUGGAGGAUGAAUGUCGUAAGAUUGUAAACUCCUGUUAGAGGGGAAGAAUAGUACCGGUUGGACCGGUAUAUGACUGUACCCUCAGAGAAAGCCCCGGCUAACUACGUGCCAGCAGCCGCGGUAAUACGUAGGGGGCAAGCGUUGUCCGGAUUUACUGGGUGUAAAGGGCGCGCAGGCGGGAUAAAAAGUCAGUGGUGAAAUCCUACAGCUUAACCGUAGAACUGCCUUUGAUACUUUUAUUCUUGAGUUCGGGAGAGNGAGACGGAAUUCCAGGUGUAGUGGUGAAAUACGUAGAUAUCUGGAAGAACACCAGUUGCGAAGGCGGUCUCUUGGUCCGACACUGACGCUGAGGCGCGAAAGCGUGGGGAGCAAACA
This 422-nucleotide ribosomal RNA is filed under the name uncultured bacterium. RNAcentral describes it as "bacterial SSU rRNA". It matches the Rfam family "Bacterial small subunit ribosomal RNA", at positions 355 to 774 of the family's 1533-position model. The record is from RNAcentral.